UACGUAGGGGGCAAGCGUUAUCCGGAUUCACUGGGCGUAAAGGGAGCGCAGGCGGCACGGCAAGUCCGGUGUGAAAGCCCGGGGCCCAACCCCGGGACUGCACUGGAAACUGCCGGGCUGGAGUGUCGGAAGGGCAGGCGGAAUUCCUGGUGUAGCGGUGAAAUGCGUAGAUAUCAGGAGGAACACCGGUGGCGAAGGCGGCCUGCUGGACGAUGACUGACGCUGAGGCUCGAAAGCGUGGGGAGCAAACAGG
RNAcentral lists this ribosomal RNA (253 nucleotides) under uncultured bacterium. RNAcentral describes it as "partial 16S ribosomal RNA". It matches the Rfam family "Bacterial small subunit ribosomal RNA", at positions 524 to 776 of the family's 1533-position model. The record is from RNAcentral.